RNAcentral lists this long non-coding RNA (237 nucleotides) under Gossypium barbadense (sea-island cotton). Its description in RNAcentral is "long non-coding RNA (GBAR_LNC009039)". Lineage: Eukaryota; Viridiplantae; Streptophyta; Magnoliopsida; Malvales; Malvaceae. The record is from RNAcentral.
UAUAUAAAUGUUCAUAAGAUUUAAUUUUGAUAUUCGUAUAGGUUCAAAAUAUGAUUUUGCUAUGAAAACUUUGAUAUAUGAAAAUGUUUUGAUGUGAUGAUCAGAAACUUUUGCAUAUUGUUGAUUCUGCUAUUUUAUAAUUGAAUAUGAGAAUGUAUGAUUCAAUAUAUUCGUAUGUAUUGAGAGUUUUGCAUAUGCAUUAUAUUCGGGAUUUGAUGUUGAAGAGAAGGAAGUUUG